Molecule: long non-coding RNA, 212 nt
Filed under: Capsella rubella
Lineage: Eukaryota; Viridiplantae; Streptophyta; Magnoliopsida; Brassicales; Brassicaceae
Description: long non-coding RNA (CRUB_LNC001314)
Source: RNAcentral
AAAUAUAUAGACUAAAAAUUUUAAAUUCGAAAGUUUUCAAAUGACUGAACGAAAUGGAUUAGAAGGAACUACUCGAAAUUAAGCAAAGCUUAAUAGCUUAUGACGAUAAAAAAAAAAAAGUUGUGACAAUUCGAUUGGGACUGCUAGUGCGAACUUUGGUUCAUAUACGAUUAAAAAUUAAAAAUUGUUAAUAUCUAUUUUUUUGGUCACCG